Long non-coding RNA from Anolis carolinensis (green anole), 8195 nucleotides. RefSeq lists it as uncharacterized. NCBI's taxonomy places the organism in Eukaryota, Metazoa, Chordata, Lepidosauria, Squamata, Anolidae. The transcript is spliced from 4 exons. The record is from RefSeq and is a predicted model, not a curated record.
UACUCCGAGGAAACACACAGGGGAAGGGAAGGGAGCCAGAUCAGGCAUGGGCCAACGUCGGCCCUCCGGGUGUUUUGGACUUCAACUCCCACAAUUCCUAACAGGAAUUGUGGGAGUUGAAGUCCAAAACACCCGGAGGGCCGACGUUGGCCCAUGCCUGGGCUAGUGUCUCUCCAAAUUACAACUCCAAGGGUUCCAUAACAGCAGGGUAAAAGCGAUGUCAAAGUGCAUUUACUUCCACAGUGUAGAUGCAGUCCCGGGAAAGAAGGGAGAGAGGAAAAGAGGGGACUGCCACUACGAAGGAGGAGGGGGUGCAAAGCUACACGGGUCAGGUGCGAAGCGUGUGGAGGGGCGAGCACGUGUCGGUUACCUGCGCUGGAAGUCUUGCUCAAAGGGAGCCAGUACGUGUCUCCUAUUUGAUAUAAUCUUGAGGACCUGUCUGCAUUCGUUAUUUCAAGAGAAUAAACUCAUGCACAUACUGGGGAAAGCUAGUGAGUUCUAAUGAUUAUCUGCAGUCGAAUAGACACCACAGUAAAUCUUCCAGCUAUUUCAAAGACGUUCUCAAGAUUACAGCCCUGGCAUAGGACCUUUAAUGCUCUAGAAAGACAGCUGCACGAAGACUUGAUGUUGACAUACAGAAACACCUGUCAUGUUGUCCUUUAUUAUAUAAAUAUGUAUGUAUAUUAUGCCAAGUUGGGGUUAAAAAUGCAUAAGGUUUUUCACAAGUAUGUGAUUUGAAUGUUGAAUAUUUUACAACUGAACAAUCAGGGAUGAUACAUUCUUAUGUGAAGAGCAAAUCCUAUUAAUCCUAUUCAUAAGCAAUUUAUUAAGCUCAGAGAGAAUCACAACACGGGAAGCUUAGUGAGUGCCUUGUUUUAACACCUAGAAGAGACACAGUUAUCAAACUGUUCUUAUAAGUAUCAUGCUGAAACUUAAUAAACUGGGCCAAACAAUUCUAGGAUCGAACUGUGUUCUUAAUAUAUCAGCAGGAAAACCCCCUUCUACAUACUAGUCUUGGUUAUAAAAAUGACCUUUGGGGUUUUUUUUUUUUGUAGUAGAUAUAAAUAACAUCUCUAAAUACAAACAGACACGUGAUAGCUGAAUGGUAGAGCACAUGUUUUCCAUGCAAAAAAUCCCAGAUUCAAUCCUUGCAAUCCAGAUAUGACCCUCUGCCAAAUUCUGGAGUGGCACCUCUAUGCAGUGUAUGGUAUAUUUAGUUCAAGAGAUCAACAAUGAUACUAAGAAGCAUUCAUAUUUUUUUCUGUAAAAGUGUGUUUUCACACUGUCAAUUUGUGAUAUGUAUUUGCUUCUGCUUAAUGCUGGGAUGUAAGAUGGACCCAGAUAUAGACAGAAAACAUAACAAAAGCAUUUAGCUUCAUAGGUGACUAUGAUGCUUUCUAAGCAGAUGUUUGAACCGAAGGGACGGGUAAGCAAUUUUUUUAAAGUUAGCUCUCAGAAACAAUAUUUUGGCUGCUCAUAAUACACAUGUGUUGUUAUUUGCUGUUUGGUUUUAAUUAUGAUUUACCACCAUAUAUGACAGACCCUUCAUAACUCCUGUCAUCAACUGCCCUACUUAGGUCUUGCAAACUCAAGGCCAUGAGUUUCCACACAGUCAAACUCUUUUCUUACUGUCUUCUACUUUUUCAAGCACUAUGGGCUUUUCCAAUAAGUCACAUUAAAUCAUAUUAUGUCCAAACUAUAACAGCCUAAGCUUUUCAAUCUUCACUCCAAUGAGAAUUCAGACUUCAUUUUCUCUAAGACCCAUUCAUUUGUCCUGCUAGCAAUCCAGGGUAUCCUUAGAAUGCUCCUCCAGCAGUUCAUUUCAAAUGAGUUGAUUUUCUUCCUGUCCAACUUUCACAGUCGUUUAUAGAAAUCCUAGCCUGGAUGAUUCUGACUAUGGUUUUUCCAUAUGCAUAAUACACAUGCAGUUGGCCCUCCAUAUCUAUGGAUUCUGUAUCCACCCAUUCAACUAUCAUAUAAUCAUAGAAUAAUAGAGUUGGAAGAGACCUCGUGGGCCAUCCAGUCCAACUCCCCGCCAAGAAGCAGGAAAUCACAUUCAAACUAUCCAUGGCUUGAAAAUAUUAAAAAAGAAAUCCAAUAAAGCAAACCUUGAUUUGCCAUUUUGCAUUAGGGACACCAUUUUCUGAGACUUGAGCAUCUACAGAUGAUUAGUAUCAGAACAUUUUGAAAAGUAAAAGUUGAGAACCACUUUUGUAUGGAACUUAUUGACCUAUAUAACCAUUAUUUGCAUCCCUGAAUCUGAAAUGGUCAUGCUUGCUCCAGGAUAAAGACUAAUACACUGAAGACUGAAGAGCAAAAUAGAAAUGGGGACCAGCUAUUUUACCUGGUUUUGACAUUGUGGUAUAAAAAUUUGACUAAAAGUAUGUCGUGUCACAUAGCUACCACUGAUCCCUGGACAAAUAAAGGGAAGAAAGAAAGAAAGAAAAAUAAAGAGAGGGACAUUUUUGUAUGCUAUAAAUUUUGUUAAUGUUUAAUAAAAUGAAUUCACCAUUGCUUCCAGUAGUAGAAAAUCUUGAAAGACAGGGAAUUUUGACAGUUUCCCUCAAAGUGUACCCAUCCAGUACUACUUCCGUUAGGUGGCACAAACUCUGUCUGAAUAAUCAGGAACAUGCUGAAAUGUCUGAGAAGCCUACAUAAAAAACUGUGCAGUUUAUUCUUUAUGUUACACAUAUCACAAAUGUAGAAUCCCUGUUCUAGCAGUUGUAAGUGUGCACAUGUGUCAAACUCAAGACCCAUGGGCCGAAUCCAGCCUGCCAUGUCAUUUUAUGCUGCCCUCCAGAUGUUGGACUCCAACUCCUGUAUUCCUCAUCAUUAGACAUCUUAACUAGAGCUGAUGGGAGUUGUGAUACAGUAACAUCUGGAAGGUUGCAGUUUGUUCCAUUUAGUCAGGAUAAUGGGGUUUUAAUUUAGAUAAAGGGCUUGUGGAUAUGAUGUCUAACUUUGGAAUGUCCUUUAACCUUUCCACAACUUCAGAGCCACAAAUGAUGUUGGGUUGCAAUUCCUAUUACCCAGUCUGCAUGGCAGAUAAUCAAAAGUGAUGGGAGUUGUCAUUCACCAACAUCUGGGGACCCAAACUGGAUAGAAGCUAAAGAGCACCAACCUGUAUGUACUCACAAAUUCCCUCUCCAUGGAUUCAACAAUUCUUUGAAGGCAACCAAAAGGCUUAUUUGGUCUUCAAUUUGGCAUUUGACACUCUUGGUUUCUAGCUUGUCAUUUUGAAAACACAAUUAGAGUAGUAUACUUUGCUUCCUGAAAAGAAAAAAAAAUGAGAGGACCUCACAGGCAUGAUGUUACAGAAUAUUUACAUGAUCUUCCAAGCCACGUGAUAAGACAGGACCUCCCUCCACCACCUGAGGGCAGCAGACUAACCUAGGACAGGAUUUCUUAAACUUUUCCACUUAAGACUCCUUUUGGCCCAAACUUUAUGUGACCUCAAGUAUAUAGGUCACCUAUAUACCUAUAUAAAAUAGGUAUAAAAUCUAACAUUCACUGACAACAAAUCAGCAUGAGCAAGGCUUGCUAAACAGGCCAGUUUCCUUUUUAUAAAGUACAUCUCAAGCAUCUUCUGCAGAGUCUAUUGUAAAUGUCUAAAACAGACACCAAAUGAUGUUUAGAAAAACAUUCUGAACGUCAACAUUGAGCUAUUGUAGGACAGGACCAAAAAUUUAAGAAGCACUGGCCUAGGACACCAAAAAUGAGGGGACUAUCACCAGGCCUGUUCCCACAUCUGCUAAUUGAAAUAGUUGCCUAACUCAUUCUUUCAUGUCAUUGGAAGUAGCAGCCAUAUUAUGAGUGGAAGAGGCCUUACUGCGUGAAUAGAAGCAACAUAAUACUAAAAGAUUCUCUUACAGAAUCCAAAAAUUCACUACCUUUCUAUCUGGUUAGAUUAUAUCACCCUCGAUUCCAGCAUCGCUCCAAAAAUUUAAAAUUAUUCUUAGUCAUUGAAGCUGGCACUCUAUCAAAGUGUGAUAUAAUACCAGAAAAAAAGUUGAUACAUUUCUUAAGCUCGUAUUUCACAACUACAUGUAGGCAAUGAGUUUCAAUUCUAACAAGAUGAUGUGAGGCAGUUAAUUUUAGAAACAUGAUUUUAAACUGAUGCCAAGUGAAGGCUGCCCACUGAAUAUCCUUCUGUGUAACUAUGAAAGGCAUGGGAGCCCAGCACUCAUUUACAUCUGGCCAGCCUCCUGAACCCAGCAGUAGCCUGGAGAUCUGUGGAAUCCCCUGCUCAUGUUAAAGGGCACUUGGCUUGCAUCCAUUUAUUAUAUCCCCUAAAAUAGGUACAACCACAAGUAUCUUGAAAAGAUGGUAGCUAUGGAUGGAAGGCUGCCCUCAUUAUCAAGAAAGAGAACUUUAUCCUUAAGUACGAUUUUCCCCUUUUACAUGUUCUGGAACUAAGAUCAAAUAAUAGGUAUUUGUUAUAGGGCAAUGGCCUGUAGCAAAUUAAACACAGUUACCAACCUUUUGUUCUUCUCCCGACAUCUUCAAUUCAGGAUUUUCAUUGAGUUCCAACUCCAUUCUUUUAUUUUUUUUCCCCCUAGAAGUUUACUUAUAAUCAAAUGAAAUAUUCAGUUGCAUGGUUAGCAUAGUUAAAUUCUGCCCUGAGGAUGGUGAAGCCAUUCUGUGGUUUGAUUCCCCAGCUCUCCCUUAUGCUGAGAAUCAUUUACAAGCAAAAAAAAAAGUACUCAGUGGGGAGGUCAGGGUCACAGAGUCCAGCCAUCAGCUAGCCUGGACUUCAAAAGAACAGUCUUACGUUACUCUUGCUGCUACUGAAGAUGAUUGCUUUAAAUUAUUCAUAGCAAUAUUCAGCACAGUAUAACAUUUUAAGCUCCCAUACCUUCCUCGAGCUGCUAUGCCAUGAAAAAGCAACCACAAAAUAAGUAUUAACAUGAAAAAGGGCACACUUUUUAAAUACAGAAUACCUCUCUCGUUAUAUCAUUGUGAUCUCCAGGUAAAUAAUGACAUAUAACCCACUACUUUUAGAGGGAUUUAGUAUUUAUUGCAUAACACCUACAUCUUCUGAGUGGACUGGAUGUUUUAAAAAUGAAACACCUACCCAAAUCAAAAUUGAUGCUUUGAAUUUUGCUUCCCUGGCUGCCUCAGCUGAAACAGUAAAUAUAGUAAAUAUUUAAACAAGGUAACUAUCCCUUUUCAGAGCCAAGCCUUUUCUGUUCUUGUUAGAGAUUUAAUAAAUUUAUAAUCACAAUCAGAUUCCAUGAACCUUGAGUCUGAUUCUACAAUCACAGAGAGGACAAUACAGUUUUUCCACAGGCAAUUAGCACCACACGUGAAACAGCAUCCAUAAGGCUUCCUUGCCCACUCUUUUUGGCUAACCUUUAGCAACUUUCCCAGUGCAAUUUUCUCAGCCAUUUUAUUUCAAGCCAUCUUCUGUACAAAAUCCCAACUAUCUAACUCUUUCCAGAGACAAAUGUUUCUACUGUUCCAGCAGUAGAUGGGGAGAUGUGAGUAUAUGGAUGAACUACAUAGAAACAGUAAGCACAAUACUGUCAAAUGUAAGUUGGAGGCAAGUGCCAGGUUGAUUGAAUACUGUUAAGUUCAAAAAAGGAAACUUCUCCAAAAUGAGGGAAUGGGUAAAAUGGGAGUUAAAAGGAAAGGUCAAAAAGGUGAAAUCUCUCUCACUAUGUUGCCUGGGGGCUACUUGAAACUAAAUUAAGAGAGACUCAGCUAAAAUGCCCAGCAUGGAUCAGAAACAGAAAUACAGAAUCCAAGAGGUCAGCAGCAUGGCUAGCAAGCACCAUGAAGAGCAAAAAGGGAAUUUGAGGAGCAUAUCGCAAAUAGCAUCAACCCUAACAAUAAAGUGUUAUUUAAUUGUUUCAGCAGGAACAUGCCAAGAAGUGAGACAGGUGGAUCACUGAAAGAUAGCAGAUUUAAAGAAUUCCAAAGUAAGAUAAGAGAUUAUAGAGAAGGUGAAACUUUUCAUCAGUCUUCAUUGCUAAAUGUGUAUGGAAAAUAGUCAUUAGUGAAAUGUAGAACAUAUUGCCGGAGGGGGAAAUGAGGAGGUAGUGUGAUGCUGAGAGGAAAUUUUAGGCCACAUAAAGCUAAUUGAAUUGCCCACUCAAGGACAUAGCUACCCAAACAAAAGUUCUAAAAGAACUCUUAUGUGAAAAUUAUACAUCAGCAUUUAUUUGUAACAUAUCACAUGAACAAUCCAGAGGACUGAGGAGUGUCCAGUUUAAAAUUUAUUUCUAAAAGUUAUUUUGUGGAAGGAUGGAAAUACUAAAAAUUAAAAGAGUCCUUCUCCAAAGACAAUGAAUAAAUAGUUAUGGGAUAAAAUAAAAAGUAUUCCUAUGGACUCAGUGCUGAUUAAGGAACAGGAAGAAUAACAUAAAAAUGAACUGUAAUUUCUCACAGUGGAGAGAGGUGAACCAUGGUGUCCUUUACGGAUCUGAAUUAAGACUUGUGCUUUUUUAUUUGUUUAUAAAUGAUCUGCAUUUAGGGUGAGUAAUGGAAAGAUCAAGUUUGGGAUGAACUCAAAAACCAUCAUUCAGAAAGAACUCAAAAACUCUCUCUCUGAACUGUGAGAAUGAACAUUAAAACAUCAUGUGAUAUGCAGUGUAAGCAACUGUAAAGUAAUAAUUGUUGCUCGGAAAAAUGCUAAUUAUACAAAUAUCCUGAACAAGAAAGGGAUUUUCAAGUUGUAAUAGAAAGCUUAAUGAAAAUGUUGAGUUAGUGUGUGGCUGAUGCAAAAAAAGGGCAAAUUCCACAUACAACACAAGGGGGAGGAGGUAUAAAAAUGGCAAAGUCUCCCUAUUCAUGUCUACAAUAUGACCACAUGUGAAUUGCUGUGUACUGUUCUAGUCUCUGCAACAGAAAAAUGUUAUUGUAACCUUGGAAAUGUUCAGAAAGAAGCAACCAAAAUAAUCAAGGGACAAGAAUGACUCUUCUAGAAAGAAAUAUUACACCUCUGGGGAAUCAUUUAGUGUGGAAAAAUGAGCUGAGGAGACAACAAUAAAGGUGUGUGAUGUAGAGAAAAUGGGUAGUAGUUUUUCUUCCUCUCUUAUAACCCUACAUUCUGAGCCACCAGGAAGUAGUUUUCCAUGCAGCACAUAAACUAGAAAUUGCUGCCAAAAGAUGUAGUGGUGUCUACCAGUUUGGCUGGUUUUAAAGAAGAAUUAUAUACAUUAAGGAUAGAGCUAUCAAUGGCUGCCAUUCAAUAUAGCUAUGUAUCGUUUCUAAUAUACAAGACAGUAUGUUUCUUUGUAGCAGCCACUAUAUGACCAAAAGGCCAGUGCUUCUCACACUAUCUGAUGUGAUUUGUUUUGUUUUGUUUUUUUACAAUGUGCCACAUAGAAGCAACAUAAUAGUUGCCAUUGGCUACAUUGUUUCUUUUUCCUGUAAGCUUGCCAAAUUGGCAACCAAUAGAAACCUCCACUAUGAAUAGUAGUGCAAUAGACAACUGGCUACUAUGUGCUGAACCAGAUAUGCUUUUGGCCUAAUUGCUUUAUGGCUUAUGUGAUCUUAUGACUGUGCCACAAAAUACAUUUUACAACAACUAUGACUAUGUCUAUAAAUAUAUUCAUAGUUGGCUCUUAUGAAAUUUAUUUAUUUCUCAUGUCAGAAGCAAACCGAGGGUACAAGUUGUAAUGGAUUUGCAAACAUAGAGAUUUUUUUAAGAAAGAAAAAAAACUUGGCAUUAAUACUAAAUAUCUUUUGCCCAGUAGCUGGCCACUUGGAGUGCCUCUGGUGUUGCUGUUAGAAGAUCCUCCACUGUGCAUGCAGCAGGGCUCAGAAUGCAUUGCAGUAGGUGGUCUGUGGUUUGCUCUUCUCCACAGUCGCAUGUUGCGGACUCCACUUUGUAGCCCCAUUUCUUAAGGUUGGCUCUGUAUCUCGUGGUGACAUUCAGCGCAUUCCAAGUUGCUCUUAUGAAAUAAAGAUGUAUAAGUGGAAAGUAUACAUAAACUGGGAGAGUUUUAUUUUUCACAAGUAGAGGACCUUCAGUGGAAACCCCACUCUUCCCCAAUAUCCAAGUGAGAACUGACCUUUUCCAAUAGUCAUGGGAUGCCAAAUGACUAUUGGUAAGGAUGGGUAGAAAACUGUAUGAAAUAUCAUUUGAAGAAGACUUGCUCUGAUAUCUUCUUGUGUUUGGAUACUGCUGCUUUGGCUAUUUGAACAGUUACACUUUUAUUUGAAACACAGAAAUAAAAGAAAUUAUAAUA